RNAcentral lists this transfer RNA (90 nucleotides) under Burkholderiales bacterium. RNAcentral's name for it is "tRNA-Ser". It matches the Rfam family "tRNA". Rfam says of the family: Transfer RNA (tRNA) molecules are approximately 80 nucleotides in length. Their secondary structure includes four short double-helical elements and three loops (D, anti-codon, and T loops). RNAcentral also lists the same sequence under 11 other names. The record is from RNAcentral. Lineage: Bacteria; Pseudomonadati; Pseudomonadota; Betaproteobacteria; Burkholderiales.
GGAGAGGUGGCAGAGUGGUCGAAUGUACCUGACUCGAAAUCAGGCGUACUGUCAAAGGUACCGUGGGUUCGAAUCCCACCCUCUCCGCCA